This 492-nucleotide ribosomal RNA is filed under the name uncultured bacterium. RNAcentral describes it as "partial 16S ribosomal RNA". It matches the Rfam family "Bacterial small subunit ribosomal RNA", at positions 29 to 507 of the family's 1533-position model. The record is from RNAcentral.
ACGAACGCUGGCGGCGUGCUUAACACAUGCAAGUCGAACGGUGAAGGGACUGGUUUUUGCUGGUUCUGGAUGAGUGGCGAACGGGUGAGUAACACGUGAGUAACCUGCCCCCUUCUUCUGGAUAACCGCAUGAAAGUGUGGCUAAUACGGGAUAUUCUGCGCCUGCUGCAUGGUGGGUGUGGGAAAGAUAUUGUUUCGGUGGGGGAUGGGCUCGCGGCCUAUCAGCUUGUUGGUGGGGUGAUGGCCUACCAAGGCGGUGACGGGUAGCCGGCCUGAGAGGGUGGACGGUCACACUGGGACUGAGACACGGCCCAGACUCCUACGGGAGGCAGCAGUGGGGAAUAUUGCACAAUGGGCGCAAGCCUGAUGCAGCGACGCCGCGUGAGGGAUGGAGGCCUUCGGGUUGUAAACCUCUUUCGCCAGUGAAGCAGGCCUGUCCAUUUUGUGGGUGGGUUGACGGUAGCUGGAGAAGAAGCGCCGGCUAACUACGUG